RNAcentral lists this ribosomal RNA (468 nucleotides) under uncultured bacterium. RNAcentral describes it as "partial 16S ribosomal RNA". It matches the Rfam family "Bacterial small subunit ribosomal RNA", at positions 28 to 507 of the family's 1533-position model. The record is from RNAcentral.
GACGAACGCUGGCGGCGUGCUUAACACAUGCAAGUCGAACGGAAAGGCCCUGCUUUUGUGGGGUGCUCGAGUGGCGAACGGGUGAGUAACACGUGAGUAACCUGCCCUUGACUUUGGGAUAACUUCAGGAAACUGGGGCUAAUACCGGAUAGGAGCUCCUGCUGCGUGGUGGGGGUUGGAAAGUUUCGGCGGUUGGGGAUGGACUCGCGGCUUAUCAGCUUGUUGGUGGGGUAGUGGCUUACCAAGGCUUUGACGGGUAGCCGGCCUGGGAGGGUGACCGGCCACAUUGGGCCUGAGAUACGGCCCAGACUCCUACGGGAGGCAGCAGUGGGGAAUAUUGCACAAUGGGCGGAAGCCUGAUGCAGCAACGCCGCGUGCGGGAUGACGGCCUUCGGGUUGUAAACCGCUUUCGCCUGUGACGAAGCGUGAGUGACGGUAAUGGGUAAAGAAGCACCGGCUAACUACGUG